This 378-nucleotide unclassified non-coding RNA is filed under the name plant metagenome. Its description in RNAcentral is "partial contains 5.8S ribosomal RNA, internal transcribed spacer 2, and large subunit ribosomal RNA". The stretch from base 1 to 105 matches the Rfam family "5.8S ribosomal RNA", at positions 50 to 154 of the family's 154-position model. The record is from RNAcentral.
GAAAUGCGAUAAGUAAUGUGAAUUGCAGAAUUCAGUGAAACAUCGAAUCUUUGAACGCACCUUGCGCUCCUUGGUAUUCCUUGGAGCAUGCCUGUUUGAGUAUCAUGAAAUCUUCAAAGUAAAUCUUUUGUUAACUCAAUUGGUUUCUACUUUGGUAUUGGAGGUCUUUGCAGCUUCACACCUGCUCCUCUUUGUUCAUUAGCUGGAUCUCAGUGUUAUGCUUGGUUCCACUCGGCGUGAUAAGUUAUCUAUCGCUGAGGACACUGUAAAAGGUGGCAAAGGUAAAUGCAGAUGAACCGCUUCUAAUAGUCCAUUGACUUGGACAAUACUUUUAUGAUCUGAUCUCAAAUCAGGUAGGACUACCCGCUGAACUUAAGC